GCGAAAGUGGCGGAACUGGUAGACGCACCAGCCUUAGGAGCUGGCGGGGCAGCCCGUGGGGGUUCGAGUCCCCCCUUUCGCACCA
RNAcentral lists this transfer RNA (85 nucleotides) under Burkholderiales bacterium. RNAcentral's name for it is "tRNA-Leu". It matches the Rfam family "tRNA". From Rfam's summary of the family: Transfer RNA (tRNA) molecules are approximately 80 nucleotides in length. Their secondary structure includes four short double-helical elements and three loops (D, anti-codon, and T loops). Further hydrogen bonds mediate the characteristic L-shaped molecular structure. tRNAs have two regions of fundamental functional importance: the anti-codon, which is responsible for specific mRNA codon recognition, and the 3' end, to which the tRNAs corresponding amino acid is attached (by aminoacyl-tRNA synthetases). tRNAs cope with the degeneracy of the genetic code in two manners: having more than one tRNA (with a specific anti-codon) for a particular amino acid; and 'wobble' base-pairing, i.e. permitting non-standard base-pairing at the 3rd anti-codon position. Lineage: Bacteria; Pseudomonadati; Pseudomonadota; Betaproteobacteria; Burkholderiales. RNAcentral also lists the same sequence under 4 other names. The record is from RNAcentral.